This 487-nucleotide ribosomal RNA is filed under the name uncultured bacterium. RNAcentral describes it as "partial 16S ribosomal RNA". It matches the Rfam family "Bacterial small subunit ribosomal RNA", at positions 28 to 507 of the family's 1533-position model. The record is from RNAcentral.
GAUGAACGCUAGCGAUAGGCUUAACACAUGCAAGUCGAGGGGCAGCACAAGGUAGCUUGCUAUCUGGGUGGCGACCGGCGCACGGGUGCGUAACGCGUGUGCAACUUGCCCUAUACAGGAGGAUAACCCGUCGAAAGACGGACUAAUACUGCGUAUGCUCACAACUUGGCAUCAAGUGGUGAGGAAAGAAAUUCGGUAUAGGAUAGGCAUGCGUCCCAUUAGCUUGUUGGUGAGGUAACGGCUCACCAAGGCAACGAUGGGUAGGGGAACUGAGAGGUUUAUCCCCCACACUGGUACUGAGACACGGACCAGACUCCUACGGGAGGCAGCAGUGAGGAAUAUUGGUCAAUGGGCGCGAGCCUGAACCAGCCAAGUCGCGUGAAGGAUGACUGUCUUAUGGAUUGUAAACUUCUUUUAGACGGGAAUAACAAGAGUCACGUGUGACUCCCUGCAUGUACCGUAUGAAUAAGCAUCGGCUAACUCCGUG